Molecule: transfer RNA, 73 nt
Filed under: Camelus bactrianus (Bactrian camel)
Lineage: Eukaryota; Metazoa; Chordata; Mammalia; Artiodactyla; Camelidae
Also listed under: 2 other names
Rfam family: tRNA
About the family: Transfer RNA (tRNA) molecules are approximately 80 nucleotides in length. Their secondary structure includes four short double-helical elements and three loops (D, anti-codon, and T loops). Further hydrogen bonds mediate the characteristic L-shaped molecular structure. tRNAs have two regions of fundamental functional importance: the anti-codon, which is responsible for specific mRNA codon recognition, and the 3' end, to which the tRNAs corresponding amino acid is attached (by aminoacyl-tRNA synthetases). tRNAs cope with the degeneracy of the genetic code in two manners: having more than one tRNA (with a specific anti-codon) for a particular amino acid; and 'wobble' base-pairing, i.e. permitting non-standard base-pairing at the 3rd anti-codon position.
Source: Rfam by way of RNAcentral
GAGGGUAUAGCUCACAUGGUAGAGCGCACGCUUAGGAUGCAUGAGACCCUAGGUUCAAUCCCCAGUACCUCCU